This 73-nucleotide transfer RNA is filed under the name Stegodyphus mimosarum. It matches the Rfam family "tRNA". Rfam says of the family: Transfer RNA (tRNA) molecules are approximately 80 nucleotides in length. Their secondary structure includes four short double-helical elements and three loops (D, anti-codon, and T loops). Lineage: Eukaryota; Metazoa; Arthropoda; Arachnida; Araneae; Eresidae. The record is from Rfam by way of RNAcentral.
GCCUUCGUGGUGUAAUGGUCAGCACGCUCGGCGCGUAUUCGAGAGGUCCGUGGUUCAAGUCCCGGCAAGGCCA